UACGGGGGGAGCAAGCGUUGUUCGGAUUUACUGGGCGUAAAGCGUGCGUAGGCGGUUUGUUAAGUCUGUCGUGAAAGCCCCGGGCUCAACCUGGGAAUGGCGAUGGAUACUGGCGAGCUAGAGUACGGUAGAGGAGAGUAGAAUUCCCGGUGUAGCAGUGAAAUGCGUAGAGAUCGGGAGGAACAUCAGUUGCGAAGGCGGCUCUCUGGACCAGUACUGACGCUGAGGCACGAAAGCGUGGGGAGCAAACAGG
RNAcentral lists this ribosomal RNA (253 nucleotides) under uncultured bacterium. RNAcentral's name for it is "partial 16S ribosomal RNA". It matches the Rfam family "Bacterial small subunit ribosomal RNA", at positions 524 to 776 of the family's 1533-position model. The record is from RNAcentral.